GUGAGAGCGGCUCGCAGCGCCCGGAGAUCCUCGGCCCGUGCGUAGGGGUGGGGAGGGACCAGCCCCGGGGCUGUGGGCAGGGAAUGUCCCCAGUCCCAUCGCUGCGAUGCUGAAGGAAUUUUGGUUCCUAUGAAACCACUGCAAAAAUAUCACCAGCCCCAAAGGGGCAGGAGGUGGAACUGGAGUUUAAACACCAGCCAGGCCAGCUUAAACGGGUUUCAAAGUUGCAAACUUGUAAGGCAGCGUUUUCACGGCUGGAUCCAGCCCAGCGUUUUGUGUUUGUCUCCUAAAAACAGCCUCGGGGACAUCUCAGCACCUUCUCUUUGCCAGCAUGACUUGAUGAUAACACACAAAAAGGUGUCAGUGUUGGAGCAGCAUCUUCCAGAGGGAAGUGGAUGAGUUAACCCCUCUCCCACAGAAGCACAGGCUGUGUUGGAUGAUGUUGAAGUGAAGGGAGCGACCCACCUUUGUUGGUUCAGCAUCUGACUCUGAUUUAUUGAUCAACCAGGCACUUUUUAUAACCGUGUUAAUUCACUUCAUGCAUAUUGCAAAAUCUGAGCUCCUGACAGGCUGUAGAGAAAACAUCAGCUCCUCCUUUUGUUUGCAAUACCUGAAGUUUGUUUAUUGAAACCAAGAUCAGUGUUCUCACCAUGAUAUGAAAAGUUCUCAAAACCUUCAUAUCUGUUCCCAGAGCAGCCAAGGACAGAAUAUUGCCUGUUUUUGAGGAAAUGGUCUGAGAAUCUUGUUGUUUAUAUAAAAGGUGGCUGAGAAUCUAAUUAUUUACAUGAUUAAGCCUGGGAAAGGCUGCUUUUUCCCUUAGCUGAAUACCUUCAUGGCCUCUUUCUUUAAGCCAUGCUUGAGCUAGGCUCUCCACAGGAUGAGAUGGACACAAAUCACAGAGACAACUGAGAAGCUCCACGAGGAUGUGCCUGGUUUGGUGUGUUCUGUGUGCUCACAUUCCCAGAGUGAUAACAACAUCACGUGGUUGGGCAAAAUCUCCUCCCUGUGCAGAACAUCCCCAUCUCCUGCAUCCUGGUUUGAAAUGGAUCCAGGGGAUUCUGAAAAUGAAAAUUUCCACAGUAUUAUUGCUAAUGAAGCCUAAUUAAUUUUGGAUGUAAAUGUGCCAAGCUUCUGCAGUUGUGUGCAGCCCCAUUAAAGGAAAACUCAUGGCAGUUUUAUCUGAAAAUUAUCAGAGGAACGGGGUUUGUUGAGUUCCUUCUUAGACUGUGGACUUCUCCCUUCUUCACCUCUUGAACUCAGCUAAGUUAAAGGAAAUGUCACAGCCUUUUAAAACAGCUGCCUGAAAUAUAGGAGGAAAUGAGGGAAACAGAGAGAUGGGAGAAAAUUCCUGCACUGCUCCUGACCUCCAUGGCUUUCGUGGACUGGAGUGGGAACUUCAGCUAUUUCCACCAGAUUCUGUGUUGCAAUCUGGAUGUUCUCAGCAGGUUAGAAACCAUGUUCAAGUGCACUGUGACAGUUCUCCUCUUAGUGUGGACUGUGCCAUUUAAAGGCCACCCAGGGUGACAGAGACCAGCCAGAACAUCACAUUUCUCUGAGAACUCUGACACUUUAUUUUUUCCCUUCCCACAGCAGCCAUGUGGUCCUGCUGACUCCAUUCAACCAGCACAGCUGGACUGGGGCACUCAGCUCAUCCUUCAUGACAAAAAUUUCCACUUUCCUCCAGAUCUGGAGCUUGUUUGCCAUCCUGCCUGGAUUUCUGAACCCUCUGGGCCAUUAUGAACAACACCCGUCCUGGAAACACAACCUUAAUUCCCAAUCUCCUUAUGAGAGAGGAAGGGGGAAUAUGGUAAACCCCACCUCAAAAUGCUGCUUUUUAACCCAGAGUGAGGAAUUGUCAUUUCCAAAAGCACACAUGAGGAAAACAGCAGUAGCAGAGUGAGCUUUGGAAUUUGUCCAGGCGUUAAAGAUUUUAGGAAUGCUACGUGCUCUGUGUCACAUGUGUCCCCCUGAAUGGGACAGGGAACCUGGACCGUGCUGGGCAUGACCUGAGAAAUGCCUCAGCCAGCUACACAAACUCUGGGCUGUGUGGACAGAGAGGGACAUGAUCAAUAUUGGAUCAUUUUGGUGACAAACGUGACAUUUCCCAUCUGAAAACAUUUAAUUAUUGCUCAGGUUGAGGUCACUGCUGUGCUUUGUGCCUCCCCACCAGCACACUCCAUUUCCAAACUCGCCCUUAUAAAACCCAGCUGUUGCACAUCCAACUUUUUCUGGGAUAUAUAUAUAUAUAUAUAUCUCCCAGAAAAAAAAAUCUCCAUAUAUAUCCAUAAAUACCCCCGUGGAUGUGGAGCCAGUCCAUGAGAGCAGCAUUGUCUAGCCCCAGUGGUGUGGCUGGCAGGCAGCCAGGCAGCAAGUGGGUACCUGUGAGCUGUGCCAGCAGCAAGCUCAUCCUUCUGGAAAGGGCUGUGCUGGGAAGUGGGUGAGCUCAAGAAAAUGCAUUUGAGCUUCUGGGCACUAUUGAUUUGUCUUGAUGUAUUUUAUUCAUCUGCUUGAAGCACAAUGAAAACGUGCUGGUGGAAUGAGUCGGAGUUCAGGGGAGGGGGAGCCAGAAGUGGGGUUUGGAGCUGGCCGCCAUCACCAUCUUCCUCCUCUGCAGCUGCUCCAGAGCUCUACACAAACCCAGUUUCUGCUUCCCAGCAAGGCAGCAGAAGGGAUAUCUUUCAGCAGAGAAAUCUGGGGAGAAAAUGAAAAUAAAACUGGUUUGGUUGGGGUAAGAACA
Molecule: long non-coding RNA, 2737 nt
Filed under: Zonotrichia albicollis (white-throated sparrow)
Lineage: Eukaryota; Metazoa; Chordata; Aves; Passeriformes; Passerellidae
Description: lncRNA (ENSZALG00000011701.1)
Source: RNAcentral